Long non-coding RNA from Physeter macrocephalus (sperm whale), 663 nucleotides. RefSeq lists it as uncharacterized. The transcript is spliced from 4 exons. The record is from RefSeq and is a predicted model, not a curated record. Lineage: Eukaryota; Metazoa; Chordata; Mammalia; Artiodactyla; Physeteridae.
GGUGUUAUGUGCAAUUUCAUAAGAGUGAAAAUAUUGUUGAGUAAAUAUUUAGCUUAAAACUCAAAGGUAGGGCUUCCCUGGUGGUGCAGUGGUUAAGAAUCCACCUGCCAAUGCAGGGGACAUGGGUUCGAGCCCUGGUCUGGGAAGAUCCCACAUGCCACAGAGCAACUAAACCCGUGCACCACAACUACUAAGCCUGUGCUCUAGAGCCCGCGAGCCACAACUGCUGAGCCCACAUGCCACAACUACUCGAGCCUAUGCCCUGCAACAAGAGAAGCCACCACAAUGAGAAGCCCGAGCGCAGCAACGAAGACCCAAUGCAACCAAAAAUAAACAAACAAACAAAACAAAUAAAUAAAUUUAUAUUUUAAAAACUCAAAGGUCUGUGAAGCAAAAUGAUAAAUUGACAGUCUGGAAGGUUCACAUGGAUGAAAACCUGGUCAACAGCUACACAGUUAUAAAUGAGGGAUCUAAGGGAAGGCCCAAAGUGAAGGCCGUAUGCCAUUUGGAAUCUCACACAGUUUUCAUGUGAGCAUGGAAGUUAUGUCAAGGAGAAGCAACCGAGGCCUGGAGAGGAGAAGAGAAGUGACCUGCUCAAAGCCACACAGCUUUGAAAAUAAUUAGGUAAGACAUCAUCAAGCUCACAAAUGUACAAAUAGUUGC